CAGAAUAUAGUUUAUAUAAAAUAGUAAGUUUGGGGCUUGCAGAAGAGCUGAUCUUUUCUGA
RNAcentral lists this transfer RNA (61 nucleotides) under Pseudoniphargus gomerae. Its description in RNAcentral is "tRNA-Pro". The record is from RNAcentral. RNAcentral also lists the same sequence under 1 other name. Lineage: Eukaryota; Metazoa; Arthropoda; Malacostraca; Amphipoda; Allocrangonyctidae.